RNAcentral lists this ribosomal RNA (440 nucleotides) under uncultured bacterium. RNAcentral describes it as "partial 16S ribosomal RNA". It matches the Rfam family "Bacterial small subunit ribosomal RNA", at positions 338 to 795 of the family's 1533-position model. The record is from RNAcentral.
CCUACGGGAGGCAGCAGUAGGGAAUAUUGCUCAAUGGGGGAAACCCUGAAGCAGCAACGCCGCGUGGAGGAUGAAGGUUUUCGGAUUGUAAACUCCUUUUGUUAGAGAAGAUAAUGACGGUAUCUAACGAAUAAGCACCGGCUAACUCCGUGCCAGCAGCCGCGGUAAUACGGAGGGUGCAAGCGUUACACGGAAUCACUGGGCGUAAAGAGCGCGAGGGGGGGAUAGCAAGACAGAUGUGAAAUCCUAGGGCUUAACCAUAAAGUUGCAUUUGAAACUGUUAUUCUAGAGUAUGGGAGAGGUAGGUGGAAUUCUUGGUGUAGGGGUGAAAUCCGUAGAGAUCAAGAGGAAUACUCAUUGCGAAGGCGACCUGCUAGAACAUCACUGACGCUGAUGCGCGAAAGCGUGGGGAGCAAACAGGAUUAGAUACCCGGGUAGUC